GUCUACGGCCAUGCUACCCUGAGCAAGCCCGAUCCCAUCUGAUCUUGGAAGUUAAGCAGGGUCGGGCCUGGUUAGUACUUGGGUGGGAGACCACCUAGGAAGACCAGGUGCUAUAGGCG
This 119-nucleotide ribosomal RNA is filed under the name Pteropus alecto (black flying fox). The record is from RNAcentral. Lineage: Eukaryota; Metazoa; Chordata; Mammalia; Chiroptera; Pteropodidae.